This 231-nucleotide long non-coding RNA is filed under the name Elaeis guineensis (African oil palm). Its description in RNAcentral is "long non-coding RNA (EGUI_LNC038326)". The record is from RNAcentral. Lineage: Eukaryota; Viridiplantae; Streptophyta; Magnoliopsida; Arecales; Arecaceae.
GUUGGCAUGUGAGAGAGAGCCCUACGACGGGUUGGCACCCUCUUGGUUCACUUAAUUGUGGUCAAAGUAUGGGGAUACAAGGAGUCCUAAGGUGAUUAAGACUCAAUUAAGUGGCUGAUUUGAUUUUGAUUGGGAAUCCAAUUGCUCCUCUAUCUAAGAGGGCCUCCCCUAAGAGUUUUGUAUUAGAUUUUCAGCAAGCUUUCUGCCUCCCAAAUAGCCCCCACCCCCUCC